CAGCACCUCAAGUGGUCAGGAUGAUUAUUGGGCCUAAAGCAUCCGUAGCCGGCUCUGUAAGUUUUCGGUUAAAUCUGUACGCUCAACGUACAGGCUGCCGGGAAUACUGCAGCGCUAGGGAGUGGGAGAGGUAGGCGGUACUCGGUAGGAAGGGGUAAAAUCCUUUGAUCUAUUGAUGAUCACCUGUGGCGAAGGCGGUCUACCAGAACACGUCCGACGGUGAGGGAUGAAAGCUGGGGGAGCAAACCGGAUUAGAGACCCGAGUAGUCC
Molecule: ribosomal RNA, 270 nt
Filed under: uncultured archaeon
Lineage: Archaea
Description: partial 16S ribosomal RNA
Rfam family: Archaeal small subunit ribosomal RNA
Source: RNAcentral